CCUACGGGGGGCAGCAGUAGGGAAUGUUUCACAAUGGGCGAAAGCCUGAUGGAGCAAUGCCGCGUGAAUGAUGAAGGUCUUAUAGAUUGUAAAAUUCUUUUAUUGGGGAAGAAAAACUAAAGUAGGAAAUGACUUGAGUCUGACUGUACAAUGGGAAUAAGCAGCGGCUAACCAGGUGCCAGCAGCCGCGGUAAUACAUAGGAUGCAAGCGUUAUCAGGAUUUACUGGGCGUAAAACGAGCGCCGGCGGGUUCACAAGUUUGGUUUGAAAGGCUUUUGCUUAACGAAAGUUUUUAUCACAAACUUUUAAUCUAGAGUGUAGUAGAGCUUUCUGGAUUUCCCUGUGGAGCGG
This 351-nucleotide ribosomal RNA is filed under the name uncultured bacterium. RNAcentral describes it as "partial 16S ribosomal RNA". It matches the Rfam family "Bacterial small subunit ribosomal RNA", at positions 338 to 681 of the family's 1533-position model. The record is from RNAcentral.